CACGUAGGCACCAAGCGUUGUCCGGAAUUAUUGGGCGUAAAGAGCUCGUAGGCGGUUUGUUGCGUCGGCUGUGAAAUCCCGAGGCUCAACCUCGGGUCUGCAGUCGAUACGAGCAAACUAGAGUGUUGCAGGGGAGACUGGAAUUCCUGGUGUAGCGGUGAAAUGCGCAGAUAUCAGGAGGAACACCGGUGGCGAAGGCGGGUCUCUGGGCAACAACUGACGCUGAGGAGCGAAAGCGUGGGGAGCGAACAGG
This 253-nucleotide ribosomal RNA is filed under the name uncultured bacterium. Its description in RNAcentral is "partial 16S ribosomal RNA". It matches the Rfam family "Bacterial small subunit ribosomal RNA", at positions 524 to 776 of the family's 1533-position model. The record is from RNAcentral.